RNAcentral lists this ribosomal RNA (468 nucleotides) under uncultured bacterium. Its description in RNAcentral is "partial 16S ribosomal RNA". It matches the Rfam family "Bacterial small subunit ribosomal RNA", at positions 28 to 507 of the family's 1533-position model. The record is from RNAcentral.
GACGAACGCUGGCGGCGUGCUUAACACAUGCAAGUCGAACGGAAAGGCCCUGCUUUUGUGGGGUGCUCGAGUGGCGAACGGGUGAGUAACACGUGAGUAACCUGCCCUUGACUUUGGGAUAACUUCAGGAAACUGGGGCUAAUACCGGAUAGGAGCUCCUGCUGCAUGGUGGGGGUUGGAAAGUUUCGGCGGAUGGGGAUGGACUCGCGGCUUAUCAGCUUGUUGGGGGGGUAGUGGCUUACCAAGGCUUUGACGGGUAGCCGGCCUGAGAGGGUGACCGGCCACAUUGGGACUGAGAUACGGCCCAGACUCCUCCGGGAGGCAGCAGUCGGGAAUAUUGCACAAUGGGCGGAAGCCUGAUGCAGCAACGCCGCGUGCGGGAUGACGGCCUUCGGGUUGUAAACCGCUUUCGCCUGUGACGAAGCGUGAGUGACGGUAAUGGGUAAAGACGCACCGGCUAACUACGUG